GAUGAAGAACGUAGCGAAAUGCGAUAAGUAGUGUGAAUUGCAGAAUUCCGUGAAUCAUCGAAUCUUUGAACGCACAUUGCGCCUUCUGGUAUUCCGGAAGGCAUGCCUGUUCGAGAGUCAUUAACAACCGUUUCGAUCCCUUUCUUUCAGAAAUUACAAAGAGGAAAAGGGUUUGGUUAUGGUGGGGGAGGGAAAGGGAGCGUUUAGCCUGUAAAAAAAGAGGCUGUGUUCCGCCUCCCCCCCAAAAUUGUACAGGCGGUCGUGUGCGCCCACGCAUCGAGGUGUUGUAAAAGCUGCCACGGCACUUUUCACCUGUGCAGUGCGAGAUUGGCCAGCCGGUUUAAAAACCCCUCCAAACAAUCAAAGGUUGACCUCGGAUCAGGUAGGGAUACCCGCUGAACUUAAGCAUAUCAAUAAGCGGAGGA
This 425-nucleotide unclassified non-coding RNA is filed under the name soil metagenome. RNAcentral's name for it is "partial contains 5.8S ribosomal RNA, internal transcribed spacer 2, and large subunit ribosomal RNA". The stretch from base 1 to 120 matches the Rfam family "5.8S ribosomal RNA", at positions 35 to 154 of the family's 154-position model. The record is from RNAcentral.